Molecule: non-coding RNA, 260 nt
Organism: Caenorhabditis elegans
Lineage: Eukaryota; Metazoa; Nematoda; Chromadorea; Rhabditida; Rhabditidae
Source: Ensembl
GGCAACAUUCAACUAGACGGGCGACCAGUGUCAAACUGCCAAAGGCAGCAAAAGCAGCGGGGCCAGGCCAGCAGAAGACAGCAGAAGGCAUGGAAACGAGGCGAAAAAAGGGACUGAUUUUUAUCGUCGCUGCAUGCUUCAUCAUCUUCUCCAGCUUCAUCGUCACGUCGCCCUUUUUUUCUGAAACAGGGCAGACUGCUGGCCUGCCAUGGCAAAAUGGUUCCUUUCUCUGUUAGGGAACCCAAGUCAGGCAAAAAGUG